GCACGAGCCGGAAAUGGAAAAGCCGGUACAAGCGUAUAGCAGUCAUGCAGGCAAAACCGCAUGAAAAAUGUAAAGCGUUAUGAGGAUCGAACAUUAGUAGAGAAGCGUGUGAGCCAGCUGCCAAGAAAAGCCGCUAUUGCUUCAUAAGUACCCGUACCGUAAACCGACACAGGUGGAUGAGGAGAGAAUCCUAAGGCCGGCGGGAGAAGUGUUGUUAAGGAACUCGGCAAAAUGACUCCGUAACUUCGGGAGAAGGAGUGCCACAGAGAUGUGGCCGCAGAGAAAUGGCCCAAGCAACUGUUUAGCAAAAACACAGGUCUAUGCAAAACCGAAAGGUGAGGUAUAUGGGCUGACGCCUGCCCGGUGCUGGAAGGUUAAGAGGAGAGGUUAGAGCAAUCGAAGCUUUGAAUUUAAGCCCCAGUAAACGGCGGCCGUAACAAUAACGGUCCUAAGGUAGCGAAAUUCCUUGUCGGGUAAGUUCCGACCCGCACGAAAGGCGUAAUGAUUUGGGCACUGUCUCAACAACACACCCGGUGAAAUUGAAAUACCAGUGAAGAUGCUGGUUACCUGCGCCAGGACGGAAAGACCCCAUGGAGCUUUACUCCAGUUUGAUACUGGGAUUCGGUACUGUCUGUACAGGAUAGGUGGGAGGCUAGGAAAUGGUGACGCCAGUUGCCAUGGAGCCAACCUUGGGAUACCACCCUUACAGUACUGGGUCUCUAACCUGCAGCCGUAACCCGGCUGGGGGACAAUGUCUGACGGGGAGUUUGACUGGGGCGGUCGCCUCCGAAAGAGUAUCGGAGGCGCUCAAAGGUUCCCUCAGAACGGUUGGAAACCGUUCGAAGAGUGCAAAGGCAGAAGGGAGCUUGACUGCGACACCGACGGGUGGAGCAGAUACGAAAGUAGGACUUAGUGAUCCGGUGGUAUAAAGUGGGAUUGCCAUCGCUCAACGGAUAAAAGCUACCCUGGGAUAACAGGCUUAUCACUCCCAAGAGUUCACAUCGACGGAGUGGUUUGGCACCUCGAUGUCGGCUCAUCGCAUCCUGGAGCUGUAGCAGGUUCCAAGGGUUGGGCUGUUCGCCCAUUAAAGCGGUACGCGAGCUGGGUUCAGAACGUCGUGAGACAGUUCGGUCCCUAUCCGGCGUGGGCGUAGGAUAUUUGAGAGGAGCUGUCCUUAGUACGAGAGGACCGGGAUGGACAAACCUCUGGUGUAUCUGUUGUUUUACCAAAGGCAUGGCAGAGUAGCCAAGUUUGGCAGGGAUAAACGCUGAAGGCAUCUAAGCGUGAAGCCCCCCUCAAGAUAAGAUAUCCCAUCUUCGGAGUAAGACCCCUUGAAGACUACAAGGUUGAUAGGCUUUGUGUGUAAGUGCGGUAACGCACUCAGCUGAGAAGUACUAAUAGGUCGAGGACUUAUUAA
This 1417-nucleotide ribosomal RNA is filed under the name metagenome. RNAcentral's name for it is "bacterial LSU rRNA". It matches the Rfam family "Bacterial large subunit ribosomal RNA", at positions 1485 to 2925 of the family's 2925-position model. The record is from RNAcentral.